ACGUAGGGGGCAAGCGUUAUCCGGAUUUACUGGGUGUAAAGGGAGCGUAGACGGUUUUGCAAGUCUGAAGUGAAAGCCCGGGGCUUAACUCCGGGACUGCUUUGGAAACUGUAGAACUAGAGUGCAGGAGAGGUAAGUGGAAUUCCUAGUGUAGCGGUGAAAUGCGUAGAUAUUAGGAGGAACACCAGUGGCGAAGGCGGCUUACUGGACUGUAACUGACGUUGAGGCUCGAAAGCGUGGGGAGCAAACAG
Molecule: ribosomal RNA, 251 nt
Filed under: uncultured bacterium
Lineage: Bacteria
Description: partial 16S ribosomal RNA
Rfam family: Bacterial small subunit ribosomal RNA
Source: RNAcentral